CGUACGUGCCGGAUUAACCGAUUUCUCAUAUACUUAAUGGGAACUAUAUUCACAUGACGUAGUAAUUCCCAAUCACGUGGUACAGACAAUAUUCGAACUUGGAUCGAAUUCGAAGUAAAAUAUUUAUAUUUAAUUCGGCUUUUUUUGUUAUGUUUUUGACUAUUGUAUUACGGUGUCAAAUAUGCCAUUUUGAAAGCAGAAUAUGUGACUAUGUGUGAUAUACAGAUACAACUCAAAUUCGUUAAUUAAAUAUUUCCAUUUUUUUGACGAUUUUAAGAUUUUCAAGAUGAAUUUAAUAAACAUAAUUCUCUGCCUGAUGACAUUGCAACGUUUAGGUGAAGGUCUUCAACACUGCAAACGUUAUAUAACAUACUUUAAUAUCAAUUUAACUUUGCAGUAUGAGAACUCUGUAAUUUUUAGACAUUUUUAUGGAAAUAAUAUGAAUAACGGUUUACUAUUGGAAUAUCUCUCUCUUAUUUCGAGUGAAAAAAAGAAGAAUAUUCGAAAAAUGUCAGUGGGUAAUCUAAAUUCGUUGCAACGAAUCAUUUAUAAUAUAUUGCCUUCUUUAUUAUCCUUACUGUUACUAAAAGUAACUUCUUUUACGUAAUGAUUCCUACUAUAAAGAUAAUUAUUCACAAAGUCCUUUCAUAUAUCUUGGAUGAUCAUUGCGUGCCAUCUAGACAUGUAGCAGUCUACGUGUCUGGAUGCCAUGAAUGAUUCUAAAUCUUAAGAAUCAUUUACUUUUAACGAACGAAAAAUUAUGGAUUAUAAGAUAUUGCAUCUCAUCAAUUUGACGGUGGUCUUCUUAUAUUCAAAGAUUUUUCCUAAUAACUAGAACCUUUCUUGUCGAAACAUAACCAAAUAUUGCAAGUAAAGGAUGCUUGAAGGUUGCUAAACUAUUUUAUAGAAUUUAUAUAUAUAUACUGUAUUACUACCAAAGAAUUAUUCAUAGAUAAUGUUAAUAAUUAACAUUAUCU
Long non-coding RNA from Centruroides sculpturatus (bark scorpion), 977 nucleotides. RefSeq lists it as uncharacterized. NCBI's taxonomy places the organism in Eukaryota, Metazoa, Arthropoda, Arachnida, Scorpiones, Buthidae. The transcript is spliced from 4 exons. The record is from RefSeq and is a predicted model, not a curated record.